GGCAAUUGAACUAAUUGCGGUAUUUAUCCUUCUCUCCUACCAUGCUUAGACUAAAUAUCUGUAUCAUAUCCUUUGCAGCAAUUGUUCUAUGUGUAUGCUAUAGCCUUUGGCCUCCGCACUCUGCAAAGCAUGCUGACGUGGAAACUGUCAAUGAAUGGUUUGAACCUUUAGAUGUAUGUGUUCAUGGGUUUAAUUUACUUAAUGUGGCACUUGUUUGAUAGUACAUAGCUAGUUAGCAUGUAAAUGGAAAUGCUGAUAUGCUGAAACGGACAUGGGAAACAACAUUUCUCAAAAAUAUAGGAAAAGGAAAUGUGGAAAAACGUGCAAAUAUUAAAAAUAUAGUGGUGCAGUUACAAAUAUAAAAUUUUUA
Molecule: unclassified non-coding RNA, 370 nt
Filed under: Hevea brasiliensis (rubber tree)
Lineage: Eukaryota; Viridiplantae; Streptophyta; Magnoliopsida; Malpighiales; Euphorbiaceae
Source: RNAcentral